This 950-nucleotide long non-coding RNA is filed under the name Homo sapiens (human). Its description in RNAcentral is "HSALNT0406423". The record is from RNAcentral. Lineage: Eukaryota; Metazoa; Chordata; Mammalia; Primates; Hominidae.
AACCUGGGUGAGGCACCUGCUGACCCAGAGCCUGUUUCCCCACUUGUGUCUCAGGGGACUAAGACCCACCCACCGCCUCAGACUGUGUGUGGCUAUAAGCCAGUGAAAAAGCCCACAUGUCCUCCUGGGGCCUACCUCUCAGACCCUGGCCUCCUAGGGGCUGGCUGCACCUUGGCAGGUACCUGCGGCCCUGGCCGUCGCGGCCUGUGCUUCCAGAAGCUGGGCAGGGCAGCUUGAGGGGAACCCUGGGAUGGAACUUGCAGCCACCCUGGCUGGGGACAGCUGGGACCACCCCUACUCCUGAGACACCACCAGCAAAUUGCAAAUUCCAAUGGCAGCUAGAUUUUUCACCCGAUCUAUGCAAUCAAGUCACAGGAGCUGCACGGCAAUGCAUCUGAGACCAUGCGGUGUCACCUUCACAGAAGUGCUCUGGCACAGAGACUCCAGCCUUGCCGGCCUCUCGCCUCCCAAGCACAGAAGCCUCCAGAACGCUGCUUCAAGGACAAGCCCAGGAGACCUGCCAUGCUCAUGCGUGUCUUUGGAAACAGGUUCUCUAAAUUUUGCUUGUGGUUUGUUAAAAAAAAAAAAAAAAUCAGAAGUGUAAUCAAAGACUUCAACAAACGAAGCACCAAAACACUUCAGCUUUGAAAUGUAGAAUUGCAAUGACUGGAAACACGGCUCGCAAAGCAAAAGACAUUAAAAUUCAGUCAUCCCUACAGAAGCCGGACAGGAAUUGAUCACAUCCACUAGUGAAGGCUCAGAAAGUGACAAGAUUUCAUUUGGAAAUCGUACCUGUGUCCUUGGGAACAUCCUGAACCUUGGGAAGCAUCAGCUCAUGGAGUUCCUAUUAACUGGAUAAAUUUAUAUUCUAGAUUGAAAUGGAAUGGAAUUAAGUAGGCCCACGGUUUUGCAGCACGUACAUUUGAAGAAUCAUUAAAAAUCAUCAUAGA